GGGCCCGUAAAGGUUUCGACGGGGAUCUUGAGGUAUGAUAAGCGAGUAGAGCCGGACAAUCUCUAAAAAGGUCCACAUUAAAAUUAAACGCUAACAAUAAAACUGUAGCAAUGGCUGCCUAAGGGCAGUGCCGCGGCAUAAGCCGCCCGUUCCUCCGAGGAGUAUCGCGGCCUCGGACUGAGCGUCAAGACAGCGGUGAACGUGCGUCGGUGUUUCGCCAUUGAACCGACCACGCAGAAAAUGGCUACCCGCGCACGAAGUCUGUCUGUUGACGUCGUGCAAGGGGAAACUCAAAUAACAGACUGCACUCGGAGAAGGUCAUAUCAAGAGGUUUUCGGACAGGGGUUCGAUUCCCCUCGGGUCCACCA
Molecule: transfer-messenger RNA, 368 nt
Filed under: Eubacteriales
Lineage: Bacteria; Bacillati; Bacillota; Clostridia
Also listed under: 1 other name
Description: HGM12713 sp015063485 Standard tmRNA
Rfam family: transfer-messenger RNA
About the family: Bacterial tmRNA, also known as 10Sa RNA or SsrA, is named for its dual tRNA and mRNA-like properties. Its role is to liberate the mRNA from a stalled ribosome.
Source: RNAcentral